RNAcentral lists this non-coding RNA (25 nucleotides) under Rattus norvegicus (Norway rat). The record is from RNAcentral. Lineage: Eukaryota; Metazoa; Chordata; Mammalia; Rodentia; Muridae.
UCAGAUGUAAUUGUCUCGGAGGCUU